RNAcentral lists this long non-coding RNA (384 nucleotides) under Gossypium barbadense (sea-island cotton). RNAcentral's name for it is "long non-coding RNA (GBAR_LNC016550)". The record is from RNAcentral. Lineage: Eukaryota; Viridiplantae; Streptophyta; Magnoliopsida; Malvales; Malvaceae.
UGGUUCUAAGCUGUUAUAAAAUGGCAACUCCAUCCAAUACUCGCCCAGAAUCUGACAGAAUGGAAGCCGGCCAUCCCCAUUGUUACACCAACUAGGCAGGUUCGUUUGGUUGUUCUCAAAUAUCUUAAGCAUGUACGCAUCACGGAUCUGUAAAUAAUAACUCAUGUCAAACCUUAUCAGUUCAAGUCAAAAGAAUAUCGACAUGGAAAGAUGACCAAACUGCUGAUACUUACAGUGAAUUCAGUUACUUGAAUCGAGUUUGAAAGGGGACCGAAGACCCCAGCCUCUUUAUACAUCUCAAGGAUAAAGGCAACACAUGUUGUUGAUUUCCCAUCACUGUAGACCCAUUCAUCUUGUUCCGGGAUAGUGAGUAAUUGAUCAAAG